RNAcentral lists this non-coding RNA (205 nucleotides) under Paenibacillus riograndensis. Lineage: Bacteria; Bacillati; Bacillota; Bacilli; Caryophanales; Paenibacillaceae. The record is from RNAcentral.
UUUAAUAGUUAAGAGAGAGGUGCCGGUUCGAUGCGUAGCAUCAGAAAUCGGCUUAAAAGGGAAGCACGGUGCAAAUCCGGCGCGGUCCCGCCACUGUAAAUGCGGAGCGGCUCUUAGAGCGGCCACUGUCCGGCUGUAAGGAUGGGAAGGCCAAGAGCAGCGAUGAGGCAUAAGCCAGGAGACCUGCCUUUUUCGUGAACGUUUC